This 6559-nucleotide long non-coding RNA is filed under the name Marmota monax (woodchuck). Lineage: Eukaryota; Metazoa; Chordata; Mammalia; Rodentia; Sciuridae. The record is from RNAcentral.
CGGCGGACGCCUGUUCGCGUGCACCGUCCCCCGCCUGACCUGCCGGCCGCUUCCGGAGCGGGAGGAUGUGGCGGACUUGCGGGGCGCUAAGCGCUUCGGCCCUAGCCUUGGCGCGGUCGCGGGGAGCCCGGGCCUGCAGCGGAGACGGGGGCGUCUCCUACACGCAGGGCCAGAGCCCGGAGCCCCGGACGCGCGAGUAUUUCUACUACGUGGAUCAUCAGGGUCAGGUGUGUGGGGAGCGAGGCAGGGCGCCGGGAAGGGGAAGGGCCUCUGUGGGGGCGGGACGGGAACUGGAGUCCCGGUGCGUACUGACGAGGAGAGGAGUCCUCGUAGGCCAAGGGAAAGGGGGGAACCUGGAAAGCGCGUGAGCCCCACUCUGCAGAGCCCAGACAAUCAGCGGGAAAAACCCGGAGCGCGCGGGCGGCGUGGGCCUGGUGCGCUCUGCCCCGGCCUUCGAGCUCAGCGCCUGCUUCGAGUACGGCCCUGGCGCGCCCGCGCUGCCCUCGCACGUGCGCUGGGAGGGCGGUCGCCUCGCCCUCACCAUGGAGCUGGCCCCGCUGCUGCUGGCGACUCCGCCGUCCUGAGCCCGCGGGCGGCUCGGGAGGUCGAGUGCCCGCGUGGGGAGGCUCGGCCUGCUUUGUAAUCAAGGAAGAGGGGAAAAGCCACCGAAAGUGCAAGGAAGCAUUACUCGGGUUGCGGGUCGAUGUCGGAAAGGCAGCAGGCCCGGGGUUUACUUUCAAAGCGCCGCCCUGCACAGGGAACAGCAAGACAGUGAACACACCCACGGGGUCUCAUUCACUGGCCUCGGCCUGUCCUCUGCAGCUCUUCCUGGACGAUUCCAAAAUGAAGAACUUCAUCACCUGCUUCAAAGGUACUGCUGCACCCCUUCCUUCGCCCUUCAGGACAGCCGAGGACAGGCCCUGCCCCGGGCCCCGACCCAGGGCUGACUUGCACCAGGUGCCCCGCUGUCGCAGUGAGGCCAGCGCCGGCCUUGGGUGUGGUCCGGGGUGAGGCGCCUGCCGAGGUGAGCAGCCGCACUCUCUGCUCCCCCCAGACCUGCAGUUCCUGGUCACCUUCUUCUCUCGCCUGAAACCCAACCGCAGCGGGCGCUACGAGGCCGCCUUCCCCUUCCUCUCACUGUGCGGCAGAGAGCGCAACUUCCUGCGCUGUGAGGACCGGCCCGUGGUCUUCACGCACCUGCUGGCCACGGGCCGCGGGCCCUCUCGCCUCUCCUACUGCGGCGGGGGCGAGGCCCUGGCAGUGCCCUUCGAGCCGGCGCGCUUGCUGCCCCUGGCGGCCAACGGGCGCCUGUACCACCCGGCGCCAGAGCGCGCGGGCGGCGUGGGCCUGGUGCGCUCUGCCCUGGCCUUCGAGCUCAGCGCCUGCUUCGAGUACGGCCCUGGCGCUCCCGCGCUGCCCUCGCACGUGCGCUGGGAGGGCCGUCGCCUCGCCCUCACCAUGGAGCUGGCCCCGCUGCUGCUGGCGACUCCGCGGUCCUGAGCCGCGGACUGUUCCGAAGUUCCCGCGGAUCCUGCGCUCCGCCGGCCGAGUGCGCGUGCGCGUGCGUGGAGUGCGCCGGGGCUCCGCCUGCUGGCGCUGUCCGAGGUGCUGCUGCCCGUCCUAGGGCUCGGCGCCGCCCCUUGCUCCGCUCCUCGCUCCCCUUCCGGGCAUCCUCUGGAUUGGCCCGCGCUCCCGACGUCAGGCCCGGGCGGCGGGCGCAGGAGGCGCGGGGCUCCGGUGCGCGUGCGCGCCCCGCCUCUGCUGGAGCCAGGCCGCCGCAGGCUCGGCGGGGAGCCGCGAGCCGCCGGAGCGUCAGGUGAGGGGGGGCCCCGACCCAAGGUCACCGGGCUUAGGGGCGGGAUCGGGGACCUCCCCGGCUCAGACCCCGGCACGCACCUAGAAGGGUGUGCAACCCGGCACCGGGGAGGGCACGCGGAUACCACGCCCUCCACGAUCGCAGGCCUGCACCUACCUGCGCGAGAGGGCGAAAGGGGACUUCGUGCAGGAUCCCAGCGCCGGUCGCAAGGACCACCCGGAGAUCCUGGCUCGAGUGUGCCGGAGAGAGGAAACCGGGUGCCCCCAGCCCCCUGCUAAGCCGGAUUAGGGUUUGUCCGCUGGUAAAAGGACUUCUGGGCCCUCAUCCGGGUCCCUCAUCCCUGUCCGGGCCGUCUUUCCACACCAGUUUGUAUUUAACGGGUCCUCCAGAGCUGCAGCGCCGAGCCAAGGAAGAAACCAAGGCUUUAUUGCUGGAGGCUGGGUGGGUGGGUGAGUCCUGGAGCUGGAGGCCGCCCCUUGGUGCUCAGGGAGACUAAUGCCAUGGGCCCAAAGAAUGCGCCCCCCCCCCAGUCCCAUUUCUUGGGGGCUCACACACAUCCUGAGACCCCUGGCAACCGCCUCUGCCUUUUCCAUUAAAACUUUAUUGCUAUGCUUACUCAUAUGUCCUGAUUAUAAAUAAUCGUGUGAGUUACAGUUUAGGGCAGAAUUGAAACAAGCACUGAAGCCAUUUGGCACCUUUCAUCUUGACUCACAGAGACAGGGACACCUAGGUAACAGUAUACCCUGGGUUUUGCCUUUCUUGGCUCCAGAGGAGCUGGUUUCUCAGUCACGCCCAUACCUAUAAAACUGGGUUCUUGUGUUUGGAACUAGACCCCAGCUUUCCCAUCCCUGAGGCCACAGAUACAUGCACAUAAACCCCUGCAAACCACAUGCUUCUUCCUAUUGUCUCUGGCCCACUUAGAAAACCACACCUGAAACCCAGUUGGUGUGGUUGGAGUAGCUCAGUGGUGGAGUAUGUGCUUAACAUGUGAGACCCUGGGGUCAAUCCCUCCCCCCACACACACACACACACAAAGAAGAAACACAAAAGCUUUAUUGGUGACCUAAGGCCCGUCUCUCACACCCAAUCUUUCCCAGCACUCCACCUACCCCAAAGACAGGGGUUUUCUUUCCGGAGCCAGCCUAGGGAGCCCCAGCCCAUAGUUCAUGAAUUAACUUUCCUAUUGUUUGCCUCAUCCUCAAUUCUCUACAAGUUACUUGAGGAAAAGCCCCAGCUCUGUCAUCUGGCUCCCCCUCUGCCCAGGUCUCCCUUCAAGUCAUGAUGUAUGAACCACCAGGUGGAGCCAGAGCAUACCUGCUUCCAGUGUUAAUUAAUUCUAGAGUUUGAAGUGAGACGACAGGUCUUGUCCUAGGGGCACCUAAGGAACUCUGCUUUGGAUUGAGCCUUAGGUUUGUGCCAGUCCUGAGAGUGAAGACAAGAGUGAAGACAUGCCUGCCCAGGGCCCGUUCCCUCCUUCUGGUCUAUGCUUGGGUAGGUCCCGGAUUUUGCUGCCGAGUAGUCCUGGGUCCCAGCUCAGGAGCCACGGGGCUGAGUCAACAGGGUCAGAGGGAGCUUGAACCAGCUGUGCUGUGCAUGAGCAGAGGGCCCUCAGGACAGGCAUGGGAAGGGGUCUGAGAAUGGGUUGCCCUCCCCACAUGGCCACAUCCUGGGGAAACAGGACACCAAGAAUUCUCAACUUGAACCUCCUGCCCUCAGUCUUGGUGUUUUUGUCAAGGAAGGAAACUAGAAAAUUUUAUUCAUCAGUUUCUUUAUUGGGAGUGGGGGUUGCAGACAGGGUAGCCCAGGGCCUCGUGUAUGCUAGGCAGGUGUUCUGCCACUGACUUACAAUCCCCAGCACACGAACUGACUUAAAACUUUGUGAAAGUUAGACACAGGUUGUGUGGGCCUCCACUCGUGCUCUUGGGCUGGCUCUAUAAUGUUAGCAGUGGCCUGCCAACCUGUGUUUCAGGAGGUGCAUCCAUCGCAUCUGGGGCCAACCCUGGGGAGGCUCGCAGUCCCAGGCCUUUCUCUAGGGAAAUGGCCCCGGGGGCUCCUGUGCUGCUGCUGCUGCUGCUGCUGCUGGGGCUGCUGCUGCUGCCGCCACUGCCAGGGCUCCCGCCUCGCGCCGCCGGCUGCCCCGCCGCCUGCCGCUGCUACAGCGCCACGGUUGAGUGCGGUGCCCUGCGGCUGCGCGUCGUCCCACUGGGAAUCCCCCCAGGGACGCAGGUGGGCACCAUGUGGGGCCACCGGGCCUCGGGUUGGAGCAGGCUGCGAGUGCCCAUGGGAUGGAGGGAGCCUUGUGUGAGCAUCCGGGUGGGGUCGGUGGGGCGCCCCAAUGGAGCGAGAGACUCCUGCAGUGGGGUAAGAUUCGCCCUCCCCCGGCCCGCAGACGCUGUUCCUGCAGGACAACAACAUCGCGCGUCUGGAGCCAGGCGCCCUGGCGCCACUCGCCGCCCUUCGCCAUCUCUACCUGCACAACAACAGUCUGCGUGCUCUGGAGUCUGGCGCUUUCCGCUCGCAACCGCGCCUGCUGGAGCUGGCCCUCACAGGCAACAGGCUACGUGGCUUGCGGGGAGGGGCUUUUGCGGGCCUAGCCCAGCUGCGUGUACUCUACCUGGCUGGCAACCAGCUGGCGCGGCUGCUGGAUUUCACCUUCUUGCACCUGCCGGUGAGAGGCCAAAAGCGCGGGAUCUUCUUGUCCUGCCAGUCAUCCAGCGCGCUGUAGUAGUUGUUAGGGGAGAAAAGUCAACCUAGUCUAGCUCCCCUGGGCCCUUUUUCCUGAUGAUCUGCUGUCCCUACUCCAGCGACUGCAGGAGCUGCACCUGCAAGAAAACAGCAUUGAGCUGCUGGAGGACCAGGCCCUGGCAGGGCUCUCCUCCCUGGCCCUGCUUGACCUCAGCAGGAAUCAACUGGGCACCAUCAGCCGUGAGGCCCUGCAGCCCUUGGCCAGCCUGCAAGUCCUGCGCCUCACAGGUAACUCCUCAGGCAGGGGUCCCUAACUGGGCUCAGUGGCAUCAGUAGGGAGCAGGCCCAGGUGUGGAGGGGGUCCCUAUGAUAAACCAUUGGGUAGCAUUUUGGAGGGCCACACCACCACCCUGCAGUUCUGGUAAAGGGCAGCUGGGAACUGAAGUUCUGAUAGAUACAUAACUUAGGCACCUGCCUAAGACAGAAAAGGUAGGCGAUCCAGAAUGACUUAACAGAACUGAGGUUCUUUCACAUUUUGAGGCCAGGAAAGGGCAGGCAGGCGAAAGAGCUGACCAGGAUUGGGGGUGUUUCCAGGAGAGGGCAUCUGUUUUAGAGUUUCAGUGUUGCUGGAAUACCUGUGUGGGCAUCACUGAACUAAAGUGGGGUGAAAGACCUUCCUCAUUCCCAGCAACCGGGGUUCAGAGAAGAAACUCCACCGAGGUGGCUAUAGGAGGUGGGGUGUGGGCUUCUGCCGGGCCCAGCAGAACCUCAACUGUAUUCUUGAUCUGCCUACAGAGAACCCAUGGCGCUGUGAUUGCGCCCUCCACUGGUUGGGCGCUUGGAUCAAGGAGGGGGGUCAGCGACUGUUCAGCACCAGAGACAAGAAGAUCACGUGUGCAGAGCCACCGCGUCUGGCACUGCAGAGUCUGCUGGAGGUGUCGGGCAGUAGCCUCAUCUGCAUUCCUCCCUCUGUGCACGUGGAGCCGCUGGAACUCACAGCCAACCUAGGGGAGGACCUGCGGGUGGCCUGCCAAGCCUCUGGCUACCCGCAGCCCCUGGUGACCUGGAGGAAGGUGCCUCAGCCUCGUGAGGACCGUCCGCAGGCGCAGGCCCAGCUGGAAGGCGGAGCGCCAGGCCUGGGUGGCCAGGCCGCCCCGGACACCGGCAGCGGGAUGCUCUUCCUCACCAACAUCACGCUGGCGCACGCGGGAAAGUACGAGUGCGAGGCCGCCAACGCCGGAGGCGCCGCGAGCGUGCCCUUCCGCCUCCUGGUUAACGCGUCCCGGCAGCCGCCACCGGCCCCGCCGCCACGCCCCCCAGGCCGCGCCCCGAGGCACGAGGCGGGGAGUAUGGCGUUUCGAGCGCUAGGCCUGGCCACGCAGACAGCCAUCGCGGCGGCCAUCGCGCUACUGGCGCUCACGGCGCUGCUGCUGGCCGCCAUGAUCUGCCGGCGGCGGCGGCGGAGGAAAAAGGCGGGCGCGCAGCCAGGAGAGGGCGCGCUGUUCGUCAACGACUACUCGGACGGGCCCUGCACCUUCGCGCAGCUGGAAGAGCUGCGCGACGAGCGCGGCCACGAGAUGUUCGUCAUCGACCGCUCUAAGCCCCUAUUCGCCGAGGGGCCGCCAGAAGCGCCUACCGAGGGCAGACCGCCAGAAGGGCCGCCCCCCUCACUCCACCUCCCACGGCGCGUCGCUUACGAAAUCCACUGCUGAGCCGGCGGCGCGCGCCGAUGACGCGGGCGCCGUUCAUUGGCCCGCGUGGCGCAGCGCAUGCUCAUCAGUAAAGGUGGAAGCUGCGUUGGAGCACCAAGCUGUGGGGCGCCUGCAGACAGAGCCGCGAGGGGCCGUGACCUGGAAGGUCCACGAUGCCCGGGGAGAGCCCUGGCCUGCAGUGCUGGUGGGGUUACGCGGCCAGAGGGAGGGGCAGCAGGCCAGAUGCUAGUUGAUUCCCAGUAGCCAUGCUGGGGAUAUAACAGAGGUGGGGAAGUCACACUGGCCAGUUGGAAUAGAAUAAACAGGCAAAGAUUCAAACUCCAGACACGCUGCACGUUUGUACCUU